CACGUAGGGGCCAAGCGUUGUCCGGAUUUAUUGGGCGUAAAGAGCUCGUAGGCGGUUCGACAAGUCGGGUGUGAAAACUCCGGGCUCAACCCGGAGACGCCACCCGAUACUGUCGUGACUGGAGUCCGGUAGGGGAGUGGGGAAUUCCUGGUGUAGCGGUGAAAUGCGCAGAUAUCAGGAGGAACACCGGUGGCGAAGGCGGCGUCCUGGACCAACACUGACACUGAUGAGCGAAAGCCAGGGGAGCAAACGGG
RNAcentral lists this ribosomal RNA (254 nucleotides) under uncultured bacterium. RNAcentral describes it as "partial 16S ribosomal RNA". It matches the Rfam family "Bacterial small subunit ribosomal RNA", at positions 524 to 776 of the family's 1533-position model. The record is from RNAcentral.